This is a long non-coding RNA of Cyprinus carpio carpio, 982 nucleotides long. NCBI's taxonomy places the organism in Eukaryota, Metazoa, Chordata, Actinopteri, Cypriniformes, Cyprinidae. The record is from Ensembl.
GGAUGGCUGAGCCUGGUACAGAAGAAGGAUGUUUGUUGGCCUGCGGAUUGCAGUGGGCUUUUUGAAAACUGGGCUUCCAUUGUUUGGUGCACAGGAAGAACUUGUUGUGGGACCAAGCACAAUGGACCCUCAUACUGGCCCCAAGGUCACUGCCCACAGCUCUAUGUUGGCUUUAUAAUACAGGAAAGGGUCUUUAAAGUGCGUUUCAUUCACAUUGAUAUCGUCCUAAACCCUGCUCUGUGGGAUUUGGCUAUUGUUUUGGUGUGUACAGUACACCAUUGUGAAGGAGGCAAUAGGCACUUACAGGGCAGAACACGUAUAUGUUUCAUUCUUUGCUGUCAUUGUGUAAGUGGUUCUCAUUAGCUUACAUCAAUUCUUUAAUUACAAUUUUCAUUAAUCGCCCACAGCUCCCUCAGCAAACCAUGAAGAUAAAUCCAUUUCAUUGAGGCACUGAUAAAAAUCAAUUCAGGUGCCAUAAUUUAAAUCAGAUCAACUGAAGAACCAUAUCUCUCUCUAUAUAUAUGCAUAUAUUUUAUGCAUUAGAUAGAUAGGGUAUUAGUUUUUCAUUUUAGAAUACUUUUUCCUCUGCAAUGCCAGACAGCAUUCCAAAGAACACAUCCAGACUCUCUCAGGCCCGUAUUAUCUGAUCGGGUUCAGACUGAAUUUCAGCAUUUUGUCAGCAUGUAAGUUUUUCCUGCCAGAUCUUCUUUCAGUUCACCUUGCUGGGUUGUCCUUGGACUGACUGCUAAAGCAUCAUGUAGUGCGUCUCACUGCAGUUUCAGAAGUAGGUUGGACCCAUUUUCACACAAGGAGCUGCAAGAAUUCACUGAUUGCCGUCUUUCACCUUUAUAGGAGGGAGAUAUAUGGAUGCUGUACUAUGGAAUAUAAAAGUGAGAGAAUUAAAAGGAGAGUUCACCCAAAAAUUGAUGGGCUGUUGUUACUUAAUUACUUACUCAUUAAACCCAUCAAAGCUUUGUUGCCA